RNAcentral lists this ribosomal RNA (490 nucleotides) under uncultured bacterium. Its description in RNAcentral is "partial 16S ribosomal RNA". It matches the Rfam family "Bacterial small subunit ribosomal RNA", at positions 29 to 507 of the family's 1533-position model. The record is from RNAcentral.
AGUGAACGCUGGCGGCAGGCCUAACACAUGCAAGUCGAACGGCAGCACAAGAGAGCUUGCUCUCUGGGUGGCGAGUGGCGGACGGGUGAGGAAUGCAUCGGAAUCUGCCCAUUUGUGGGGGAUAACCUCGGGAAACCGGGACUAAUACCGCAUACUACCUACGGGUGAAAGCAGGGGAUCUUCGGACCUUGCGCAGAUGGAUGAGCCGAUGCCGGAUUAGCUAGUUGGAGGGGUAAAGGCCCACCAAGGCGACGAUCCGUAGCUGGUCUGAGAGGAUGAUCAGCCACACUGGGACUGAGACACGGCCCAGACUCCUACGGGAGGCAGCAGUGGGGAAUAUUGGACAAUGGGCGCAAGCCUGAUCCAGCCAUGCCGCGUGUGUGAAGAAGGCCUUCGGGUUGUAAAGCACUUUUGUUGGGAAAGAAAAGCAGCCGGUUAAUACCCGGUUGUCAUGACGGUACCCAAAGAAUAAGCACCGGCUAACUUCGUG